GUCCUGCAGCCGCUGCCCGCCGAGGGGAUCAAUCCACGCCGGGAAAAUGGGGAUGGGAGUGCAGUCGCAGCCCUGCAUGCUGCCCCCCCCGUCCCCCCAAUGGCUUUUUGGGGCUGCCAAAGCCUCGUGGCAGCACCGCAACUGCUUUCCUGCACUAUUUAUAGCCUGGGGUGUGGCGGGGGGGGCACAGCACGCAGCCCCCAGAGCAUCACCCGCUCCCUCCGCAGCACUGCAGCCGCUCAGCCUCGUGGCCCUUUUUGUUUAAUUUCUCAGAUGAUUCUUUUUUCCUUUUUCUUUCUUUUUUUUUUUUUUUCCCCCCGCAUUUCCAGGGCAACCGCCGGCCCCACGUGGAAUGUGCCGGGCGAGAAGGCAGCCCCGCUCCUUGUUCCCAUUGCCUCCUAUGGUCAGUGCUGCCCAGCUCCAGGGGCAGCGGUGCUCUGCCCGCAGUUGGGUGCUCCCACUUUGGAACAUCCCAGAUCUGAGCCCCAAAGCUCUCGGGAUCAUUUCCUAUCCGGGGAGUUUUUGCUGCAAUGGGACACAGCAUGGUGCUCCCCAGGGUCCAGCGCUCUGCCUGGGAGCCCUCCUUCCCCUUUAUUGCCUCAAUGUGAAUUAAUACCCAUUUCCUGAAGCUUUUAUGGUUUCCUCCCAAAUGGCUCUUACAUCAGGGGGAUAUUGGGUUACAGCAGCCAGCAAAGAGCUGGGGCUCUGCGCAAUCCCAAACCCACUGCGCCCUGGGUUGGGCGGUGCAUGUUACCCCACUGGGACAGUGGGGAGCACUCAGGACCCUCCCAGAUCUCCACAAUGGGUUAUCUGAAUGCACGGGGCAUUGCGGCUGGGGGGCAGCUGAGGGAUUUCGGGGGGUUCCCUGGUUUUGGGGUGAUUUCAGGGCUUUGCUCUCUGCUUUGCUUUGUGCCAUGGGACCGGGCGCAUGCACACCUCUUGGGCUGGUUACUGUAGAAACGAAAUUAGCACAGGGAGGGAAUGCAAUCCCAGAGCUAAUUAAGGUAAUUACAGCUUCACACCAGCUGCUCACGAGGUCCAAGGACCUUCUGUAACUUGUGGAGGGGAUCAGCCGCUGCUGGGGGGAGUCUUUAAACCCCAGAUUCUGCUGCGGUGGCACCCCUGGGCUCCCAGGGACCACAUGGGGUCAGUGCCAGCAGUGGGGAUGGGAUGUGCCACACGGCACGGCCAGUGCCCCAGGUGUGCCUCCUCCAGGUGUGCUGGCCCCAUCACAGUAACAACCCAGGGUGGGUUUGGGAUUUGGGGACCCAGCAGCAAUGGUACCAAUGGAUACACACAGUGGUACCACUUCGAGACAUCCAUCCAGCACAAGCACCAGCAGCACAGGGAUGAGAACUGGGGAUGCACUGACCUGGGGUUGGGGGGGGGCGGGUAGGGGGCUAGCAUCCCCCAGGGUGAGGCUGCAGGGAGGCAGUGGGAUCUGGGGGUGUCAGGGAUGCUGAGAGGGGACACGGGGCUGUGAAGCGACAGAGAUCAGCCCCAAGGUGGGACCCAGUGGGUGGGGACAAGGCAGCAAUGGGGCGGCUGUGGGGUCUGCAGCGGGGACACAUCCCAAGGGAGGACAGGAGCAUCCCCACGCCCCUGCAGCGUCUCAUAACCCAUGGAAAUACCAUUACCUAGCGGCUGCCUGCCCACAGAACAUGAUUUGGAGCCGAUUCCCGGCACCGUCCUGGGGCGGGAGCCAGGGGAACGCGGCCAAACGUAUUUGCUGCGGCCAACACGGCCCCGCGGUGGGGCGGCGUGGGGCUGGGGGUGGCGGGGGGGCCGGGAGCACCCGUGUCAGCAGGCGGUGAUUCACCGCUUACCAGAAUGCCGAUAUUUAUCACCCGGCUCCGCCACGAGGCGAGACGAGACGCUAAAAUAACCGACCAAAUAAAUGAAUAAAUAAUAAUAAUAAAUCUAACGCUACGGCUCGGGUGGCAGCAUCCCCUCUGCAGAUCCGAAUGGGUUUUCUCGUCUCCUCCUCCCCACCCCGGUUCUCUCUGCGGCGGGUGGAUUCUGAUGGAGGAAAAUAAACGCAGCCGCUCCCUCCCGUGCGUGUCCCCGAUUGCCCCGUGCUCCGCAGCUCCAAUGGGACGCGCCGAUCACAGAGAAGGGCCUGCCAGCCUGGCUUGGCUUUCCAUCACUGCUGACAGAGGCAGCUGAGGCCAUGCCUGAGGUGUGAUGAGAGUCACAGUGCUCAGCACUGUCCCUGGAUCCCCAGAAACCAUCACCAUGAGGACAAGGAGGGGCAGCAUGUGUCCAUGGGAUGCAGUGAGAGCGCUGGGGUUCAGUACAGGACCCCCCCAUGCAGUGCUCUGACGCCGUGCUAUGCUUUAUCAAAGCUCUACGUGGAGCUCAGCUCUCAUUGCACUGGGGGUCUCCCUGUGGGAAAUGUGGGUCUGAGCAGCGCUGCAGGGCUGUUCCCCUCCUUUGGCAUUCUGCAUUCUGCUCAUGUCCUGUGUGAGAGCAGCGGCACUGAGUCACGUUCCAG
Molecule: long non-coding RNA, 2494 nt
Organism: Gallus gallus (chicken)
Lineage: Eukaryota; Metazoa; Chordata; Aves; Galliformes; Phasianidae
Source: Ensembl